Molecule: ribosomal RNA, 253 nt
Filed under: uncultured bacterium
Lineage: Bacteria
Description: partial 16S ribosomal RNA
Rfam family: Bacterial small subunit ribosomal RNA
Source: RNAcentral
UACGAAGGGGGCUAGCGUUGUUCGGAAUUACUGGGCGUAAAGCGCGCGCAGGCGGCUAUCCAAGUCAGUGGUGAAAGCCCGGAGCUCAACUCCGGAACUGCCAUUGAAACUGUUUAGCUUGAGUAUGAGAGAGGUGAGUGGAAUUCCCAGUGUAGAGGUGAAAUUCGUAGAUAUUAGGAAGAACACCAGUGGCGAAGGCGGCUCACUGGCCCGGAACUGACGCUGAGGUACGAAAGCGUGGGGAGCAAACAGG